GUGAAUCAUCAAAUCUUUGAACGCAAAUUGCACUCUCUUCGGAGAGUAUGCCUGUUUGAGGGUCAGUAUUAAUAAAAUUCGGUGUGUUGCUUCUUUGUGACGCUCCGGAGUUUGGGUCAUCUUUAUAUUCUUUAGGUCUUAAGAGGAUUAAAAUUGAAUUUUUUAUCGUUUUUUAGCUGUUCAUAAUUAUUUUUUUUUAUUCGUAUGUUUUAAUGUUAAGAAUCAUAUUUGUUG
Molecule: unclassified non-coding RNA, 234 nt
Filed under: Glomeraceae sp.
Lineage: Eukaryota; Fungi; Glomeromycota; Glomeromycetes; Glomerales; Glomeraceae
Description: partial contains 5.8S ribosomal RNA and internal transcribed spacer 2
Rfam family: 5.8S ribosomal RNA (bases 1-65)
Source: RNAcentral